This 428-nucleotide ribosomal RNA is filed under the name uncultured beta proteobacterium. RNAcentral's name for it is "bacterial SSU rRNA". It matches the Rfam family "Bacterial small subunit ribosomal RNA", at positions 958 to 1385 of the family's 1533-position model. The record is from RNAcentral. Lineage: Bacteria; Pseudomonadati; Pseudomonadota; Betaproteobacteria.
AACGCGAAGAACCUUACCUACCCUUGACAUGUACGGAAGCCCGAUGAGAGUUGGGUGUGCCCGAAAGGGAGCCGUAACACAGGUGCUGCAUGGCUGUCGUCAGCUCGUGUCGUGAGAUGUUGGGUUAAGUCCCGCAACGAGCGCAACCCUUGUCAUUAAUUGCCAUCAUUGAGUUGGGCACUUUAAUGAGACUGCCGGUGACAAACCGGAGGAAGGUGGGGAUGACGUCAAGUCCUCAUGGCCCUUAUGGGUAGGGCUUCACACGUAAUACAAUGGCCGGUACAGAGGGCUGCCAACCCGCGAGGGGGAGCUAAUCUCAGAAAGCCGGUCGUAGUCCGGAUUGUUCUCUGCAACUCGAGAGCAUGAAGUCGGAAUCGCUAGUAAUCGCGGAUCAGCAUGUCGCGGUGAAUACGUUCCCGGGCCUUGUA